Long non-coding RNA from Mus caroli (Ryukyu mouse), 408 nucleotides. RefSeq lists it as uncharacterized. Lineage: Eukaryota; Metazoa; Chordata; Mammalia; Rodentia; Muridae. The record is from RefSeq and is a predicted model, not a curated record.
CGCUGGUCUCCUGUGGGGCAGUGUGGGCUGCGUGUGCACAGACAGCCUGGUCUCCAGUCUCUUCACUCUCCCAUUGAAUUCUGACUCAGUACCAAGGACUCUCAAAAGUAAAUAGUAUCAUGGAACUGAGGAAAGACCAGAGUUCAGAAAAACCACCAAACUGGAGGAACCUGAAAACUCUGGACCCACUACAUCUACUGAAAAAGCCUAAGUAUGAGCAUGGGGGCAGCCAAGAUGAGCCUAACAAGAGACAAAGUUGGGAUCUGGUGAUGUGCUGAGGCCCCUGCAUCCGGCCAUUCCUGAAGCCACCUGGGAUUUUUAGGUUCACAAACUAACGCCUUUUCUUUCUGUGUAAGUCCACGGGAACUGGCAUCUGCAAGAAAAACAAAUACAAGAAUAUUUUCAAAG